RNAcentral lists this ribosomal RNA (368 nucleotides) under uncultured bacterium. RNAcentral's name for it is "bacterial SSU rRNA". It matches the Rfam family "Bacterial small subunit ribosomal RNA", at positions 28 to 396 of the family's 1533-position model. The record is from RNAcentral.
GAUGAACGCUAGCGGCAGGCCUAACACAUGCAAGUCGAGGGGUAGAAUUAGCUUGCUAAUUUGAGACCGGCGCACGGGUGCGUAACGCGUAUGCAAUCUACCUUGUACAGGGGGAUAGCCCAGAGAAAUUUGGAUUAAUACUCCAUGGUAUAAAUUGAAUCGCAUGGUUUGAUAUUAAAGUUCCAACGGUACAAGAUGAGCAUGCGUCCCAUUAGCUAGUUGGUGUGGUAACGGCAUACCAAGGCGACGAUGGGUAGGGGUCCUGAGAGGGAGACUCCCCCACACUGGUACUGAGACACGGACCAGACUCCUACGGGAGGCAGCAGUGAGGAAUAUUGGUCAAUGGUCGGAAGACUGAACCAGCCAUG